UUUACCUUCUCUUUAAUCUUAAUCAGGGACUACUUAUGGUUGUUACCUUACCCUUGGAGUGAAAUAAUCUAAACAGUUAAACCAUUUUCCUUUUAUUAACACAGUAUUAGGAAUUAGGUUUCCCCCAGUAGCCAUUAACAUUCCCAGUAUCCCACCUUCCAGAAUAAUGGAGUGGAUGAUAUAAUGCAAUCAACUGUGUUAAUAAAUUGAUAUUUUUCUCCAAGGAAAUGGUUCUCAUCGUUUGAAAUGUAAAGCUUCUCAAGAAAGCCUUAGAGUCACAGCAAGAAGACUCCAUGGUGCUGGAGGUAACAUCCAGAUGCACGAGAUUGAGCCAGAUGCACCAGGUGCUGUGAGGACUUCAAGCCAGAGAGUGUGGACUCAUCUAUCAAGGAAGAAAAUUUAUAAGUGGCCAUCCAGGAAUCAUUUGCUGUUUCAAAUAGAGAACUGUGCGAUGAUGAGAAAGAGUUCAUACAUUUUCCAGUAUGUGAGGGGACCUCUCAACCUGAACCCUCAUGUUCAGCUGUCAGAAUAACAGCCAGUAAAAACUACAGGAGCAAAACCUCUCAGGAAGGUGCUUUUAAAAAGAUGCAUGAGGAAGAACACCAUCAACAAUGUCCAUCUUACAACUGCAACUGAUACAAAUGAAUGAGGGGAGGAUACAGCAAGAAGGUGGCUGUCUGUAAACAGAAAGUGGGCCCUCACCAGACACUGAAUAUGCCAGUACUUGGAUCUUGAACUUCCCAGCCUCCAGAAUUGUGAGAAAUAAAUGUUUCUUGUUUAAGGCA
Cynocephalus volans (Philippine flying lemur) is the source of this 785-nucleotide long non-coding RNA. RefSeq lists it as uncharacterized. Lineage: Eukaryota; Metazoa; Chordata; Mammalia; Dermoptera; Cynocephalidae. The transcript has 4 exons. The record is from RefSeq and is a predicted model, not a curated record.